RNAcentral lists this ribosomal RNA (497 nucleotides) under uncultured bacterium. RNAcentral's name for it is "partial 16S ribosomal RNA". It matches the Rfam family "Bacterial small subunit ribosomal RNA", at positions 29 to 507 of the family's 1533-position model. The record is from RNAcentral.
UAUGAACGCUGGCGGCGUGCCUAAUACAUGCAAGUCGAGCGAACAGAUAAGGAGCUUGCUCCUUUGACGUUAGCGGCGGACGGGUGAGUAACACGUGGGUAACCUACCUAUAAGACUGGGAUAACUUCGGGAAACCGGAGCUAAUACCGGAUAACAUUUGGAACCGCAUGGUUCUAAAGUGAAAGAUGGUUUUGCUAUCACUUAUAGAUGGACCCGCGCCGUAUUAGCUAGUUGGUAAGGUAACGGCUUACCAAGGCAACGAUACGUAGCCGACCUGAGAGGGGGAUCGGCCACCCUGGAACUGAGACACGGUCCAGACUACUACGGUAGGCAGCAGUAGGGAAUCUUCCGCAAUGGGCGAGAGCCUGACGGAGCAACGCCGAGUGAGUGAUGAAGGGGUUCGGCUCGUAAAACUCUGUUAUUAGUGAAGAACAAAUGUGUAAGUAACUGUGCACGUCUUGACGGUACCUAAUCAGAAAGCAACGGCUAACUACGUG